This 496-nucleotide ribosomal RNA is filed under the name Trachelomegalus cf. hoplurus ZMUC 00047002. RNAcentral describes it as "partial 16S ribosomal RNA". It matches the Rfam family "Bacterial large subunit ribosomal RNA", at positions 1830 to 2597 of the family's 2925-position model. Lineage: Eukaryota; Metazoa; Arthropoda; Diplopoda; Spirobolida; Pachybolidae. The record is from RNAcentral.
GGUUUUUUGUUGAUAUAUAAAAAAUCUGGCCUGCCCACUGAGGUAAUUUAAAGGGCUGCGGUAUAUUGACUGUACAAAGGUAGCAUAAUCAUUAGUCUUUUUAUUGAGGACUUGAAUGAAGGGUCUGACAAGUUUUAACUGUCUCUAAGGUAUUAGGUGAACUUUUUUUCUUGUGAAAAAGCAUGAAUAGAUUAGAGGGACGAGAAGACCCUAUUAAGCUUUUUUUAUUUUUAGUUAUUUUUAUGUAUAUGAAGAAUGUAAUUGAAGUAAAUUUUACUGGGGCGGUAAGUUAUAAACAUUAUUUUUAUUUAAUAUUUUAUUUGGCUUGUGUAUAGAUCCAAUGGGUUGAUAAUGAGAUAUAGCUACUAUAGGGAUAACAGCGUAAUAUUUUUUAAGAGUUCAUAUUGACAAAAGUGUUUGCGACCUCGAUGUUGGAUUAAGAAGUCUUUUAGGUGCAGAAGCCUAUUAAGAUAGUCUGUUCGACUAUUAAACUCUU